This 119-nucleotide ribosomal RNA is filed under the name Galleria mellonella (greater wax moth). The record is from RNAcentral. Lineage: Eukaryota; Metazoa; Arthropoda; Insecta; Lepidoptera; Pyralidae.
GCCAACGUCCAUACCACGUUGAAAACACCGGUUCUCGUCUGAUCACCGAAGUUAAGCAACGUCGGGCGCGGUCAGUACUUGGAUGGGUGACCGCCUGGGAACAACGCGUGACGUUGGCU